Molecule: long non-coding RNA, 187 nt
Organism: Sander lucioperca (pikeperch)
Lineage: Eukaryota; Metazoa; Chordata; Actinopteri; Perciformes; Percidae
Exons: 3
Source: RefSeq, a predicted model, not a curated record
CCAGUUUAACUAGCUAUAACAAUAACGUUUAACUCAAUGCAAACGUUAUGUAAGCUAACACUGACAAGCUAACAUUGGCUCUAGCAUGAGCUGGUAACGAAGUCCAACUAAAGUAAACGUACUUCAGCUUACCUAGCACAUACAAUGGUUAGCUACUGAUUAGCUCGACUAAAUUUCGGUCAAACCA